Molecule: ribosomal RNA, 429 nt
Filed under: uncultured bacterium
Lineage: Bacteria
Description: bacterial SSU rRNA
Rfam family: Bacterial small subunit ribosomal RNA
Source: RNAcentral
GGGCGCAAGCCUGAUGGAGCAACACCGCGUGAGUGAAGAAGGGUUUCGGCUCGUAAAGCUCUGUUGUUUAAAGAAGAACACGUAUGAGAGUAACUGUUCAUACGUUGACGGUAUUUAACCAGAAAGUCACGGCUAACUACGUGCCAGCAGCCGCGGUAAUACGUAGGUGGCAAGCGUUAUCCGGAUUUAUUGGGCGUAAAGAGAGUGCAGGCGGUUUUCUAAGUCUGAUGUGAAAGCCUUCGGCUUAACCGGAGAAGUGCAUCGGAAACUGGAUAACUUGAGUGCAGAAGAGGGUAGUGGAACUCCAUGUGUAGCGGUGGAAUGCGUAGAUAUAUGGAAGAGCACCAGUGGCGAAGGCGGCUACCUGGUCUGCAACUGACGCUGAGACUCGAAAGCACGGGUAGCGAACAGGAUUAGAUACCCUGGUAG